Bufo bufo (common toad) is the source of this 243-nucleotide small nucleolar RNA. RefSeq annotates it as small nucleolar RNA SNORA53. Lineage: Eukaryota; Metazoa; Chordata; Amphibia; Anura; Bufonidae. The transcript has a single exon. The record is from RefSeq and is a predicted model, not a curated record.
CACAUGCUUCCUUAGAUCCACCUUUGUGGUUGUUUAACCUGUCUUGAGUUCUGUUGGUUCACUUCCAGCAGUUCCAGUUCAGGCACAACCAGCAACUUUUACGGUUGUACAGUCAAAGGUGCUUGAGUCAUUGGCAUGUAAGAGCAAUAUACCUUCACAUUGGCCCUUUUGUUCUAAUGGCAGCGGCUACAGUAUGACUGUGACCGCUUAUCACCAGUAGGAUACGGCUAAUGUGUGGACAGU